This 471-nucleotide ribosomal RNA is filed under the name uncultured bacterium. Its description in RNAcentral is "bacterial SSU rRNA". It matches the Rfam family "Bacterial small subunit ribosomal RNA", at positions 28 to 507 of the family's 1533-position model. The record is from RNAcentral.
GAUGAACGCUGGCGGCGUGCUUAACACAUGCAAGUCGAACGAAGACAUCUGAGUGCUUGCACUUGGAUGGACUGAGUGGCGGACGGGUGAGUAACGCGUGGGUAACCUGCCUUAUACAGGGGGGAUAACAGUUGGAAACGACUGCUAAUACCGCAUAAGCGCACGGUAUCGCAUGAUACAGUGUGAAAAACUCCGGUGGUAUAAGAUGGACCCGCGUCUGAUUAGCUUGUUGGUGAGGUAACGGCCCACCAAGGCGACGAUCAGUAGCCGGCCUGAGAGGGUGAACGGCCACAUUGGGACUGAGACACGGCCCAAACUCCUACGGGAGGCAGCAGUGGGGAAUAUUGCACAAUGGGGGAAACCCUGAUGCAGCGACGCCGCGUGAGCGAAGAAGUAUUUCGGUAUGUAAAGCUCUAUCAGCAGGGAAGAAGAAUGACGGUACCUGACUAAGAAGCACCGGCUAAAUACGUG